Non-coding RNA from Picea glauca (white spruce), 72 nucleotides. The record is from Rfam. Lineage: Eukaryota; Viridiplantae; Streptophyta; Pinopsida; Pinales; Pinaceae.
UCGGGAUAGCUCAGUUGGUAGAGCAGAGGAAUUAAAAUCCUCAUGCCACCAAUUGAAAUCUGGUUCCUAGAA